RNAcentral lists this ribosomal RNA (465 nucleotides) under uncultured bacterium. Its description in RNAcentral is "bacterial SSU rRNA". It matches the Rfam family "Bacterial small subunit ribosomal RNA", at positions 338 to 795 of the family's 1533-position model. The record is from RNAcentral.
CCUACGGGACGCACCAGUGGGGAAUGUUGCACAAUGGGCGCAAGCCUGAUGCAGCCAUGCCGCGUGUAUGAAGAAGGCCUUCGGGUUGUAAAGUACUUUCAGUCGGGAGGAAGGUGGUGAGCUUAAUACGCUCAUCAAUUGACGUUACCGACAGAAGAAGCACCGGCUAACUCCGUGCCAGCAGCCGCGGUAAUACGGAGGGUACAAGCGUUAAUCGGAAUUACUGGGCGUAAAGCGCACGCAGGCGGUUGAUUGAGUCAGAUGUGAAAUCCCCGGGCUUAACCCAGGAAUUGCAUCUGAUACUGGUCAGCUAGAGUCUUGUAGAGGGGGGUAGAAUUCCAUGUGUAGCGGUGAAAUGCGUAGAGAUGUGGAGGAAUACCGAUGGCGAAGGCGGCCCCCUGGACAAAGACUGACGCUCAGGUGCGAAAGCGUGGGGAGCAAACAGGAUUAGAUACCCCGGUAGUC